AGUGAACGCUGGCGGUAGGCCUAACACAUGCAAGUCGAACGGCAGCACAGUAAGAGCUUGCUCUUACGGGUGGCGAGUGGCGGACGGGUGAGGAAUACAUCGGAAUCUACAUUUUCGUGGGGGAUAACGUAGGGAAACUUACGCUAAUACCGCAUACGACCUACGGGUGAAAGCAGGGGAUCUUCGGACCUUGCGCGAUUGAAUGAGCCGAUUUCGGAUUAGGUAGUUGGGGGGGUAAAGGCCCACCAAGGCGACGAUCCGUAGGUGGUCUGAGAGGAAGAAGAGACACAACGGAAAUGAAAAAAGGGUCAGACGCCAAAGGGAGGGAGGAGGGGGGAAAUGUGAGAAAGGGGGGGAAGGCCUGAGCAACAAAGCCGGGGGGGGGAAGAAGGCCGUCGGGUUUGAAAGCCCGUUUGGUGGGGAAGAAAAAGCGGGGGGUUAACACCCCGAGGUAGGGACGGUACCAAAAAAAGAAGAACCGGCUAACUCCGUG
Molecule: ribosomal RNA, 493 nt
Filed under: uncultured bacterium
Lineage: Bacteria
Description: partial 16S ribosomal RNA
Rfam family: Bacterial small subunit ribosomal RNA
Source: RNAcentral